RNAcentral lists this small RNA (280 nucleotides) under Arabidopsis thaliana (thale cress). RNAcentral describes it as "ATSL273370". Lineage: Eukaryota; Viridiplantae; Streptophyta; Magnoliopsida; Brassicales; Brassicaceae. The record is from RNAcentral.
AAUAAUAUUUUAUUAUGAUUUAGUUUCUGUCCAAUUAUAAACACACACAUAUACACAUAGUCUCUCAAUCAUUACUCUAAAGUUUCUCUGCAGAGAAACUAUUCUCAAUCUCUCUCCUAUCUUUCUUCUACUUUAUUAUUAUUUUAUAUUUUUUAGUUAAUGAGAAACUAUGUGAGAGACUACUGAUGGAGAUGCUCUAAAAUCAUAAACUUGCUCCCACAGACCUUCAUGUAGAUACAUCGGUCAACUGUAACCUCUACAAAACCAUAUGACGUAAUGG